UGGAGAGUUGUCCGAGUUGGCCGAAGGAGCACCACUGGAAAUGGUGUAAACGAGUAAAAGCUUGUUUCGAGGGUUCGAAUCCCUCACUCUCCGU
This 94-nucleotide transfer RNA is filed under the name Secundilactobacillus pentosiphilus. RNAcentral's name for it is "tRNA-Ser". It matches the Rfam family "tRNA". Rfam says of the family: Transfer RNA (tRNA) molecules are approximately 80 nucleotides in length. Their secondary structure includes four short double-helical elements and three loops (D, anti-codon, and T loops). Further hydrogen bonds mediate the characteristic L-shaped molecular structure. tRNAs have two regions of fundamental functional importance: the anti-codon, which is responsible for specific mRNA codon recognition, and the 3' end, to which the tRNAs corresponding amino acid is attached (by aminoacyl-tRNA synthetases). tRNAs cope with the degeneracy of the genetic code in two manners: having more than one tRNA (with a specific anti-codon) for a particular amino acid; and 'wobble' base-pairing, i.e. permitting non-standard base-pairing at the 3rd anti-codon position. The record is from RNAcentral. Lineage: Bacteria; Bacillati; Bacillota; Bacilli; Lactobacillales; Lactobacillaceae. RNAcentral also lists the same sequence under 1 other name.